RNAcentral lists this ribosomal RNA (1488 nucleotides) under Lactiplantibacillus pentosus. RNAcentral's name for it is "bacterial SSU rRNA". It matches the Rfam family "Bacterial small subunit ribosomal RNA". Lineage: Bacteria; Bacillati; Bacillota; Bacilli; Lactobacillales; Lactobacillaceae. The record is from RNAcentral. RNAcentral also lists the same sequence under 2 other names.
GACGAACGCUGGCGGCGUGCCUAAUACAUGCAAGUCGAACGAACUCUGGUAUUGAUUGGUGCUUGCAUCAUGAUUUACAUUUGAGUGAGUGGCGAACUGGUGAGUAACACGUGGGAAACCUGCCCAGAAGCGGGGGAUAACACCUGGAAACAGAUGCUAAUACCGCAUAACAACUUGGACCGCAUGGUCCGAGUUUGAAAGAUGGCUUCGGCUAUCACUUUUGGAUGGUCCCGCGGCGUAUUAGCUAGAUGGUGGGGUAACGGCUCACCAUGGCAAUGAUACGUAGCCGACCUGAGAGGGUAAUCGGCCACAUUGGGACUGAGACACGGCCCAAACUCCUACGGGAGGCAGCAGUAGGGAAUCUUCCACAAUGGACGAAAGUCUGAUGGAGCAACGCCGCGUGAGUGAAGAAGGGUUUCGGCUCGUAAAACUCUGUUGUUAAAGAAGAACAUAUCUGAGAGUAACUGUUCAGGUAUUGACGGUAUUUAACCAGAAAGCCACGGCUAACUACGUGCCAGCAGCCGCGGUAAUACGUAGGUGGCAAGCGUUGUCCGGAUUUAUUGGGCGUAAAGCGAGCGCAGGCGGUUUUUAAGUCUGAUGUGAAAGCCUUCGGCUCAACCGAAGAAGUGCAUCGGAAACUGGGAAACUUGAGUGCAGAAGAGGACAGUGGAACUCCAUGUGUAGCGGUGAAAUGCGUAGAUAUAUGGAAGAACACCAGUGGCGAAGGCGGCUGUCUGGUCUGUAACUGACGCUGAGGCUCGAAAGUAUGGGUAGCAAACAGGAUUAGAUACCCUGGUAGUCCAUACCGUAAACGAUGAAUGCUAAGUGUUGGAGGGUUUCCGCCCUUCAGUGCUGCAGCUAACGCAUUAAGCAUUCCGCCUGGGGAGUACGGCCGCAAGGCUGAAACUCAAAGGAAUUGACGGGGGCCCGCACAAGCGGUGGAGCAUGUGGUUUAAUUCGAAGCUACGCGAAGAACCUUACCAGGUCUUGACAUACUAUGCAAAUCUAAGAGAUUAGACGUUCCCUUCGGGGACAUGGAUACAGGUGGUGCAUGGUUGUCGUCAGCUCGUGUCGUGAGAUGUUGGGUUAAGUCCCGCAACGAGCGCAACCCUUAUUAUCAGUUGCCAGCAUUAAGUUGGGCACUCUGGUGAGACUGCCGGUGACAAACCGGAGGAAGGUGGGGAUGACGUCAAAUCAUCAUGCCCCUUAUGACCUGGGCUACACACGUGCUACAAUGGAUGGUACAACGAGUUGCGAACUCGCGAGAGUAAGCUAAUCUCUUAAAGCCAUUCUCAGUUCGGAUUGUAGGCUGCAACUCGCCUACAUGAAGUCGGAAUCGCUAGUAAUCGCGGAUCAGCAUGCCGCGGUGAAUACGUUCCCGGGCCUUGUACACACCGCCCGUCACACCAUGAGAGUUUGUAACACCCAAAGUCGGUGGGGUAACCUUUUAGGAACCAGCCGCCUAAGGUGGGACAGAUGAUUAGGGUG